AUUGAACGCUGGCGGCAGGCCUAACACAUGCAAGUCGAGCGAGCGGCGGACGGGUGAGUAAUGUCUGGGGACUGCCCGAUAGAGGGGGAUAACUACUGGAAACGGUAGCUAAUACCGCAUACUAUCGGAUAACCCAUAUGGGAUUAGCUAGUAGGUGAGGUAAUGGCUCACCUAGGCGACGAUCCCUAGCUGGUCUGAGAGGAUGAUCAGCCACAGUGGGAUGUGGAAACGGCCCGGACUUCUACGGAGGCAGCAGGGGGGAAUAUUGCACAAUGGGCGCAAGCCUGAUGCAGCCAUGCCGGGUGUAUGAAGAAGGCCCUAGGGUUGUAAAGUACUUUCAGUCGGGAGGCGUUACCGACAGAAGAAGCACCGGCUAACUCCGUGCCAGCAGCCGCGGGAAUAC
RNAcentral lists this ribosomal RNA (403 nucleotides) under uncultured bacterium. RNAcentral's name for it is "partial 16S ribosomal RNA". It matches the Rfam family "Bacterial small subunit ribosomal RNA", at positions 30 to 526 of the family's 1533-position model. The record is from RNAcentral.